UAGGGAUAGUUGGGGGCAUUUGUAUUCCGUCGUCAGAGGUGAAAUUCUUGGAUUGCCGGAAGACAAACUACUGCGAAAGCAUUUGCCAAGGAUGUUUUCAUUGAUCAAGAACGAAGGAAGGGGGAUCGAAAACGAUUAGAUACCGUUGUAGUCUCUUCUGUAAACUAUGCCAAUUGGGGAUCGGUACAGGAUUUUUAAUGACUGUAUCGGCACCCGAAGAGAAAUCUUUAAAUGAGGUUCGGGGGGGAGUAUGGUCGCAAGGCUGAAACUUAAAGGAAUUGACGGAAGGGCACCACCAGGUGUGGAGCCUGCGGCUUAAUUUGACUCAACACGGGGAAACUCACCAGGUCCAGACACAAUAAGGAUUGACAGAUUGAUAGCUCUUUCUUGAUCUUGUGGUUGGUGGUGCAUGGCCGUUCUUAGUUGGUGGAGUGAUUUGUCUGGUUAAUUCCGAUAACGAACGAGACCUUAACCUGCUAAAUAGACCAGCCGGCUUUGGCUAGCUGCUGUCUUCUUAGAGGGACUAUCAGCGUUUAGCUGAUGGAAGUUUGAGGCAAUAACAGGUCUGUGAUGCCCUUAGAUGUUCUGGGCCGCACGCGCGCUACACUGACAGAGCCAGCGAGUCUACCA
This 630-nucleotide ribosomal RNA is filed under the name Rhodotorula sp. SDI-2014. RNAcentral describes it as "SSU rRNA". It matches the Rfam family "Eukaryotic small subunit ribosomal RNA", at positions 873 to 1526 of the family's 1831-position model. The record is from RNAcentral. Lineage: Eukaryota; Fungi; Basidiomycota; Microbotryomycetes; Sporidiobolales; Sporidiobolaceae.